UACGUAGGGUGCGAGCGUUAAUCGGAAUUACUGGGCGUAAAGCGUGCGCAGGCGGUUGUGCAAGACAGGUGUGAAAUCCCCGGGCUUAACCUGGGAACUGCACUUGUGACUGCACGGCUGGAGUGCGGCAGAGGGGGAUGGAAUUCCGCGUGUAGCAGUGAAAUGCGUAGAUAUGCGGAGGAACACCGAUGGCGAAGGCAAUCCCCUGGGCCUGCACUGACGCUCAUGCACGAAAGCGUGGGGAGCAAACAGGAUUAGAAACCCCAGUAGUCC
Molecule: ribosomal RNA, 273 nt
Filed under: uncultured bacterium
Lineage: Bacteria
Description: partial 16S ribosomal RNA
Rfam family: Bacterial small subunit ribosomal RNA
Source: RNAcentral